GACGAACGCUGGCGGCGUGCUUAACACAUGCAAGUCGAACGGAAAGGCCCUGCUUUUGUGGGGUGCUCGAGUGGCGAACGGGUGAGUAACACGUGAGUAACCUGCCCUUGACUGUGGGAUAACUUCAGGAAACUGGGGAUCAUACCGGAUAGGAUCUCCUGCUGCACGGGGGGGGUUGGAAAGUUUCGGCGGUUGGGGAUGGACUCGAGGCUUAUCAGCUUGUUGGUCAGGUAGUGCCUUACCAAGGCUGUGACGGGUAGCCGGCCUGAGAGGGUGGCCGGCCACAUUGGGACUGAGGUACGGCCCAGACUCCUACGGGAGGCAGCAGUGGGGAAUAUGGCACAAUGGGCGGACGCGUGAUGCAGCAACGCCGCGUGCGGGAUGACGUCCUUCUGGUUGUAAACCGCUUUCGCCUGUGACGAAGCGUGAGUGACGGUAAUGGGUAAAGAAGCACCGGCUAACUACGUG
RNAcentral lists this ribosomal RNA (468 nucleotides) under uncultured bacterium. RNAcentral describes it as "partial 16S ribosomal RNA". It matches the Rfam family "Bacterial small subunit ribosomal RNA", at positions 28 to 507 of the family's 1533-position model. The record is from RNAcentral.